Molecule: ribosomal RNA, 492 nt
Filed under: uncultured bacterium
Lineage: Bacteria
Description: partial 16S ribosomal RNA
Rfam family: Bacterial small subunit ribosomal RNA
Source: RNAcentral
AGUGAACGCUGGCGGUAGGCCUAACACAUGCAAGUCGAACGGCAGCACAGUAAGAGCUUGCUCUUACGGGUGGCGAGUGGCGGACGGGUGCGGAAUACAUCGGAAUCUACUUUUUCGUGGGGGAUAACGUAGGGAAACUUACGCUAAUACCGCAUACGACCUACGGGUGAAAGCAGGGGACCUUCGGACCUUGCGCGAUUGAAUGAGCCGAUGUCGGAUUAGCUAGUUGGCGGGGUAAAGGCCCACCAAGGCGACGAUCCGUAGCUGGUCUGAGAGGAUGAUCAGCCACACUGGAACUGAGACACGGUCCAGACUCCUACGGGAGGCAGCAGUGGGGAAUAUUGGACAAUGGGCGAAAGCCUGAUCCAGCCAUACCGCGUGGGUGAAGAAGGCCUUCGGGUUGUAAAGCCCUUUUGUUGGGAAAGAAAAGCAGCAGGUUAAUACCCCGCUGUUCUGACGGUACCCAAAGAAUAAGCACCGGCUAACUUCGUG